This 33374-nucleotide long non-coding RNA is filed under the name Sorghum bicolor (sorghum). RNAcentral's name for it is "long non-coding RNA (SBIC_LNC008085)". Lineage: Eukaryota; Viridiplantae; Streptophyta; Magnoliopsida; Poales; Poaceae. The record is from RNAcentral.
UGGUAUCUAGGUUGAUUUUUGAGCCGAUAGUAUACUAUAGUAGAUAUUGGAUAUUUUGUUGGACUAACCCCUACAGGAAAACUUUCAAUAUCGACCUGGGAAGUCUUGAGAUAAACUCACAUUAGAGACAAAGAGAGAGACACAUCAAGUUUAACAAUUUACACAAGGAAGACGUAGCUCAUAAGAGAUGAUCCAUGGAGGGUGCCACAAACACGAUGCACAACCGCUAAGAAAGGAAAGCUUCCACAAGGUGAUACUGUACCAUCACUCUUCAAGUAAGGUAACAUCUUAAGGUAUUUGACUAUGACUUUUAUAAGCUUCUCCUUGGUUCUGGCGUUCACAUAAAUAAAGAGACAAACAUGUAUGAUUUAUAACUCCAAAUUAACCACCCAACUGAUUCAGCAUGUUUAGUCCUUUAAUCUUUGUUCCUAGUACUACCUCCAUGAUCCCACACUCCUAAUCAUAUGAGCUAAAAUGUUGCACAUUCAAUCUUUGGGAAGAUAUAAAGAAAAAGACAUAUAUAUAGAUAGAUUAUCUUUCCAUAAGGUUGAGCGAUCUGAUCUGACAAAUGUUUUAAAGCUACACUCAUGAACUUAUCACCCAUCAACUUUGUCUUGCUCCCUAUGCUUAAGGAUAGAGAAGAAUAAAUAUACUUUUGGUUCUGUUGGUGUUUUCCACCAACAGGACUCAUGCACUUGAUCUCUGCCUUGUCUCUACGAGCAGGACACAUUUUGAGAAACACGGAGGAUUUUUCAACUCUCAGACUCUACCAAGUGAAGGACCUGGAUCUACGAGCACAAACAUACUGAGCAAAAUACUGCCAACGCCGCACUUCGAACUGCUGGGCAAACGAAGAACAUGGGUGAUACCGUAUCAAGAGGUGCAGACGUCAAGGUCCACACCUAAAUCAAAUGACGCACCUAAAGAAUGAACACGGUGAGAAGUCUUGAUCAGAAGACUUAAAACAUUGAACCCUCGUCGAAAGGUAAAAUCGGUAGUUAUCUAUAUUUAUCCUUUCUGCAUUCCUUUUUCCCUUAAAUUAUUUACUUUCCUUAAAUAGCUUGUUAGUUAAUCAUGUUAUCUUGAAAAUAAAAUAAAAAUGUUAAAAAUAGUAAGCCCCAUGUGAGUAUGCUCGUGGCAUAAAACCCAUAAGUACAUUCACUGUGGCGGCGUAAAAAUAAAAUAAAUAUAUUUCUGUCCUAUAGAAAUGAAAAUAUAAAAAUAAAUUUAUGAUCCUACUAAAGAGAGUAAUAUUUAUUAGAGGAAGCUCAACAUGAUAAAGGCAAAGAGAUUUUAUGCUAACACUUAACCAGUUCCACAAAGCUUUGUUGUCUAUUUGAGCUCCACAGAAUUUAAGGAUCAAAGAAGACUAGUAGACGGAGGACAUCCUAAUCGCUUUCAAGGUGCUGCCGAUAUUCAAAUACACUUCCGCCACCUGCUAGCUGCAUCAGAAGAAAUUAUGUCGAAAUCCAGCUUGGGGGAGAGCACCCCCAUUUACCCAGCUAAGUGUUUAUAUUCACGUUUAUACUUUACUCAAAUAAUAAAAAAUGCAUAAUCAUAAAAACCCAAAUAAAGAUUUUAUGCUUAUAUAUAUAUAUGUAUUCUUAGUUUUCUAAAUAAGUAAAUAAAUAAAGUUUGCUAUGAACCCUCAUGAUAAGCUCUCACAUGGAAAUGAUGAAUAGUUGCUCUGCCAUGACUAGUUCUCAAAACUGAAUUCUCUCUCAAGUUUAGGCAUGACUGUGAUGAAUUAAGAUUUGCUCUAAACCUGAACUUGUGGGAAGAGUACUUGAUCUAAAGUCUAAGUUGUUAACUGAUAUGAUAUAGAAAGGUUGAGCUACUGUUUAUCUGUUCCUAGAGAUGCUAGAAUUCUAGAGAAUUUUAUCUUUGAAAAUCUUUAAAAUGUUGCAUGAUGAGUUCCAGUAUGAUGAGAGUUUAAAAUCCUACCACAACCAUAUAUACAUGCUUAUUAGACUAUGAACCAUACAUUUACUUUUUACUGCUUAUGAGCAUUGAGUGUGGUCAAGCUGUGUAGACCCUUAGGAGCUUGUCAUGCGGUUAAAAUCAAGAUUCACUUGCACGUUCACUCAUACAUGCUGCUUCUACUCUAGAAGUACGCAUCCACAUACAUCCACUCAUUUCCAUCUCCAGAUUCACCCAAAAUUAUUCUACUCCUAUCCAGGAGAGAAUAGGCAAAAACAUUAUCCUAUCCCUGUUAUUCCCCGUGAAAUAAAUGCUCGAGAUAUUUUGGUUACUACCACUUGCUACAUUAUUCCAGGCGGGUGAGUGCUCUAAAAAAAGAAAAAAAAGAAAAAAAAAGUGAAUACGAGGAAAUAAAAAGGGGCAAGUGCCCGGAACCUCGAAAGAAAAGAAAAAGUAAGACGAGAGGUAAAAAUGGACAAGUGUCCGACAGUAGAAUUAGGGGUACAAGAUAACCACCUGAGAGAAAAGAAAAAGAAAAUAUAGAGCAUCUCAUUCCCCUCAAAAAGCUUCAAAGUGCAAGAAAGGUAUGUAUCCCCUCAAAAGAGCAAAAGUAGAAUUAGACUUUCACCAUUGUUUUCACCAUCAUCACCAUACACCAUUCAUUUGCCACACAUGCACAUCUUGAUUUGACUUAUUGACCUGUUAUUCUGGAUCCAUGGUUUGACUAUGCAAUAAAUGUCUUGUAAGUAUGUAUACUUUAUCUCCCACCUAUGAGCUCCAGAUAUUAAGCCUUAUUAGAGUAGGAUGAGAGAGAAGGCAAUGUCACUAUGCCUCAUACCACAAAUACCACAUACUUUGAGAGAAGGCAUAUACCAUCACUGUCUUGGUAAGGAUCCAGAAAUACCACAAAAGAGAGAAUUAAGAGAGUCAUACAAGGAAUCUCUGAGUUUUAUUUUGAAAAUCUAAAAAAACUCCAGAGCUAUAGUUGAUCAAGAACAAGAGACAUGGCGCUUGACUUGACCGUUCUAUAUUUUAACUGCUCAAGACAUAAGUGACGGUUGCAAGCCCCAUGGUGGAAGGUAAUAUGAGUAAGUUUAAAUCUUAACAGUUUACCCUAACUCAGAGAUGAGAUCUUGUUUGAACGCAUGUGUACCUUUAAGGCAUGAAACCACUGCAGAAACCCUUGAGUCCAUCCUUGCUCAAGGAUGAGCAAGAGGUAAGCUUGGGGGAGUUGUUUGUUGACGGUCCUUAAGUAUCAAAUUUAAUUAUCAAAUAAACAAAGAAAAGGUUCCAAAUGAAAUCAACAUCCAGACUUAGGGUUUUAUCUGACAGAAUUCCACGAGUUUUGGUGUUUGUCUAUUUCUGUAGAGGGUUAUUAGGAAAUAUGGCAGAAAGGCCCACACGUCGGGAUUACAUAGAGAUAUUAACGUGCCGUGCAAUUACCUUACAUCUAGAAGACUCCAGAAGCCACGGGAAUGAAGCGGAGGCAGAACAGAGCAUGGCCUAGGGCGCCCGCCCUAGGGACCAAGGCGCCCGCCCCCUGUUAGAGUCCAAUCAGAACUCUCUUUUGGGAUUACGCUCCACCGACCUAAAGGAUCAAGGAUAACCGUUCAAUCAACGUCAGUUUGAUCCGAUGGCCCAUAUUCACUUGGAAGGACAAUAAAACCAGACCGCUGGCCCCUGGAGGAGAGGAUCUCUCAACCCUAAUUCAUUAUUCAUCAAGGGAGAAGAAGCCUCUGAUCAAGCCUAGAGCCACCACAUCCAAUAGACAUCUAGAUUAGCAUAGCUACAUAGGAUUAGAACUAGAAGGCAUCAAUCUUCGAUUGGUUUCCGGAUCUAUCAAGAGGAUUCUUGGUAAUUCUCUCUUGUUCUUCAAUUGUUCAUCUUUGUUCUUCGAUAUUAUGAAUAUGACUUUGUUCUACUUCAAUAUAUUGAUUAUGACUUUGCUCUACUUGUUUAUAUUCACAAUUAUAUUGUUCUUAGUUUAUCAUAGUUAUAUACUUGGCUUAGUUAGAUAGGAUCUAUAUACAUGUUUAGGAUCGUAUAGCGUUUAUCCAUCGGAUCCAUGGGUAAAUGAUAGAUAUUGUGUAGGUGUGGUGCUUAUACCGUAUUUAUCUGCGAUUGUACCCAAUAUGCCAGAUCGUGGGGUAGUUCGUGGUAGUGACAGCUCCAUUGAUUCUUAUAUAGUCCCCCUCUCGUGUAUUGGGGUGGUAGAGCAACAUUAUUACAGGGUAGUGAUUACGAUGUUUCUCAUAUUCCUUGCUAAUAUCACUAUGCAUGGGCGUAGUCCUGUCUCGCAAUGAUUGCUAAGUAUAAUUCCAUGCUAAUGACUUGCUAGAAUAUCUAAUUGAGGUGCUUAUCAUAUUUAUUAUGUGGCUAAGUUGUGCUGAUCAGAUUAAUUAUCUUUGUCACCAUUCAUUACUUUAUAUAUCCUUUAUGUGACACUUAUCCCUAUAUGAAAGAGUUAGAUAAAUGUUCUCAAUUAUACAUGCAAUGAUAGAUACUCAAUCUUAUAUUUCAUUCUAUAAUCAACAUUGAUGGUUAUUAAUCCCUUCCCAGUGGUAAAAAUAUAAAUAACGAUACCUGGAAUACUUCCCGGUUAAAAUGCUACAUCGGUAUUAAUCUGUGCGCUUGCAGAUCCCAUUCAUUCUUUAUUUAGAUGAGCAAUUGCAUAUUUCAAUACCGCGUCUCUCACGUCAUACUGGGGAUGACAACUUGGCUUAAGUGGUAUGAGGGAUAGGUUUGGCAUUUUUGGCGCCGUUAUCAGAAUUAGAAAACUAAGUCUACUUUUGGUAAUGAAGUUAAUAAUACCCAACAUUGUUGACGGUCCUUAAGUACCAAAUUUAAUCAUCAAAUAAAUAAAGAAAAGGAUCCAAAUGCAACCAACACCCAGACUUAGGGAUUUAUCUGAUAGAAUUCCACGAGUUUUGGUGUUUGUCUAUUUCUACAGGGGGUUAUCAGGAAAUAUGGAGGAAAGGCCCACAUGUCGGGUUUACAUAGAGAUAUUAACGUGCCGCACAAUUUUCUAUCAUCUAGAAGACUCCAGAAGCCACGGGAACGAACGGGAGGCCGAGCGGGCCCGGGGGGAGGGCGGGCGCCCGCCCUACUUUUUCCACCAAUCAGGCUCCGCUUCGAGGAUUAUGCUCCACCGCCUUUGAGGAUCAAGGAAAACCAUGCGAUUAUGGUCGGUUUGAUCCGACGACCCAUAUUCAUUUGGAGGGACUAUAUAAGCAGACCCCCUGGCCCCUAGAGGAGGCACCCCUUCAUCCCUAUUCAUUAUUCAUAGACAUAGCAAAAGCUAGAGUUUGGAGAUGAGAGCUCUCCUCUCUUCUCUAAACUAGAGUAGAUCUAGAUAGUGGCGAGAUGGAGAGCGAGGGAGGAUUGGAGGAGAGGCCGGCCUGUCGGUUCUUCCUCCAGUUGUACUUUGCCAUGAUCAAGCUCUAAUUAUGCUUGCUAAUGGGAUGACUCUGGUAAUCUACUUCUAUUUCAUUAUGCAAUUACUAUUCAUGUAUAUUCUGGUUCACAACUCUUUUGAGUACUUUUAAUCUAUAGGACCCUAUAGGUUAGAGUUGUAGUAUAGGUGUAAGCGUGGUGCUUAGACCUAGAUUAAUUGUGGAUAUCCCCUGUCUAGCCAGAUCGUGAGGUAGGCCGCGUAGGUGACAGUUACGUUGGUCCCCUAUAGUCCACCUCCCGUUAGCAGGACUGGUAGGGUUUAUCGGCCUAUGGAUAAGCAUCCUUUGUGGUGUAAUCUUAUCACGUGGUUCGUCCCAAACAUAGACAUACCCCUUUGAAGUAGAGAAACCAUAGUUAUCCUCUCUAUUCUCCUACCAUCGCCCAUAUACUAGAUUGCUCUACCCUCUAUUCCCAUAUUAUCACCCAUUGUUAUCUUACGUUUAAUAUUGUUCUUAUUCAAUUCUACCAUCUUUCCUAUUUACACCUUCACAUCUAUCUAGGUUAAGUUAGAGCGUAGAUCAGUUCUCCCGUUUCCCUGUGGAUACGAUAAACCUUUAACCAGGUAAAAGCUACAAUGGUAUCCGUGCGCUUGCGGAUUUAUCUGUGUGCGUAUAAAUACCAUAGUACACUCUAGUGCCAUGCUGGGGAUGACAACCUAGUAUUCAAGUGGUGUUAGCAAGUGUCAACAGUGGCAACAUGUGUCACUCCCUUUGUUGCCAUGACCCAUUGUGACAUCGAAAAAAGUAGGUUGCAACAUGCGUACCUCCCUCUAUUGCCAUGACCUGUUGUUACAUCUUUAAAAGUAGGUUGUGAUAGGAUAAAUUAUCUAUUGCAACGAAUGGUGUCGCUUUUAAUAUUUUUGUACAUACUGCCACGUGUCACCAACAAUUAAAAAUAUUAUUACAAUAUAAAAUCAUCACAAUUAAACAAUCAAACAUGCAUCAAAACACAACUUAACCAUAAAUGUAGCACACAAAUUAUAGCACACCACAUACUUAAAUGUUUCUCACUCUCCAUCCAACCACGUGCACACAUGUAGCACUGAAUUAAAAUGUUUGGGGACGACCACACACACACUCCACUGGUUCAAAGAAAUCAAAAUGGUGACGAAAUGGAUUGAAAUGAAUAUCAUCCUAGGCACUUGAUCAACAAUCCCAUCACUUGAUCAGCAAAGGAUGAUGACUCAAAGUUGAUCCCAUCACUUGUCGCUCCAUCGCAAUGCCUUUACUUUCCUAGAAAGAAUGAAUGACAUAUUUUUAGCAUCAAGUAAACUGAAAUUAACAUUAAGGGUACAUAGUAGCAGACACUAAACCAAAGUUUCAUUACUGAUCAUAAAAUUAUAUGAAUUUCUCAUUAAAAAAUUAAAUGAAUUGACCAUCAUAAAAUUAUCAGAAUGACAACAUGUAAUGAACUCAACUAUAAACACUUUGACAGCUGAAGAAGAAACAUUCACCUGCUGGCUUCUUGAUGUUGUCGUUUCAUUUCUUAGGUACCUGCCUCAACUGCUAUAGAGUAAUGAAUUUGCCACUGCUGCCUUAGAUGGUUCAUUUCUUCUAGCUUUACCACUUCUUGUCAGCUGAGCGCCAAUUGCCCUUUCUUGAGAUUCCUCCAGGUUGCCUUCAGGCUCCUUGUCCUGGGAACAAAUAAGAUGGAAGGAUAAAAUUAAUUAGGCACCAUUUUGUGCAGUAUCAGAUGAUAAAAAGUUGUCAAUUCACAGUCAACCUGAUUUGAGGAGACCAAAAUUUCUAUGGUAGGGUCAUCAACUUGAGAACUUGUGUUUUCGGCAGCAGCCGCCUCCUCUGCAAUUGCAGUGACAUUGUUGUUUGGCUGGACAUAUACAGAUGGUUAGUUAUAGACCGAAAGGAAAUAAAGUCAUUCAAUAACUAGCUUUUACAAAUUAACAUUUUGCAUUACUAGUACCUGCUGCAACCCUGGCUGAGCUUGUCCUGCUAGCCAUGCUUGGAUCUCUUGCCUAAAUGCUUCUUUAUCAGCCUCCCUUGCCCUCAUAACUUCUUCAAUCUGUGCUGCAUAAAAUGACCUUUGAGCUUGCCUUUCAGCUGCCCUGUCAGCUUCCCAUGAAUUCAUUUGUUCUUGUAGCCUCUCAAAUUCUUCCAUGAGUUCGAGGUGUUCCCGAUGCUUUUGCUCAUCCCUACGAAUUUGUUCCUCGCGAUCCGCAUUCAGCAGCUGCCUUCUAGUUGGGUUUUUUGCAAGGUAUCCAUUACCAUGCAACUUUUUUGAUUUGCACUUUGUGACUUCCUUGUAUGCCUCCUGGAAAAGCUCGUUCCUCUCCUUUAGGGAAAGGAAGUUUCCCUCUACAUUUGAUUCUUUAUCACAAAUAACCCUCCUUGCUGUCUCCUAAAAUUUACAACGCGCGGAUGAAAGAGUUAGUUGAUGAUGACAUUGCAGGCAUUAUCUACUUGCAUGCACCAGCAAUUAUGCACAAGUGCAUUAGGAACUUACAUAGACUUCUUCAGAUGCUUGGUCUUUCCAUGCCCCAUUUUUAGUGUGAGUAAUGUACCAAAGGUCCAAGUCAUUAGGCUCCUGACCAGUUUAUGGGUCUCUCUGAUAUGACAAGAACAGAACAAAUUAGUAAAUCUUGCAGCAAUAAAGCUUGUAGAUGUGCUUCUAUAUUAAUUACCUUCUCAUAGCUACACUGAGAAAAAGGCUUAGAUCCUGACAAAUGAGUGGUCUUUUUCUGGGAUCGAUUCCCAGCGUUCUUCAAGCUCUUUUCCUAGAGAAUGCAAUUUUAACAGACAUCUUAAUGAUUUAGACAUCGCCAUUUUUCCUAAAUUGCUAUUGUUAAGAAUAGUCAGAAUGUGGAACAAACCAUGAACUUUGCACUAUUAAAAUAUUUCAACAAAUAGUGCCAUUCUACAAUGUCCAAUUCUUCAGGCUUAUGGCUCAUUCUCUCUUGGUACGUGUUGUAUGCCUUGGCUGUAGCACUUAAAGUUGAUCGCACCCUUUGUAACGCUCUUUAGCAAUAGUCUAUAUCUUCAUCUUUGAAUGAUGUCCAUCCUCAAGGUCCCACCUAGCCUGUUAUAUAAUUAAAGGACAUACAAAUACAUGGUCAGUUGUUACGUUAUUGCAAUAAUUAAAAUCUAUACUCAAGCAAAUAUUAUUACCAAUAUGUCAGAUGCUAUUGAUUGUUUUACAUCAUCAUGGAUAACUUUCCAUGUUCUAACUCCAAUGAGUGGCGCCCUCUUCCUUGUAAACACCACUAUUUCAUCAGUGAACGUGCGCUUUGUCACCUACCGCUCCUCCAAGUUUGGAGAACUCAACAUAGAGCUUCUGAUUGCUAGACUUGUGUCUCUUAGAGAGUGCCUUCAAGCAUUUGAGGGUACCACAUCCUCUUUUCUUCCCAUUUUCUGAGCCUAUUCCAUGGCAACAAGAUGUUACAACGGAUAUUAAACGACGACAGCAGUUGAGGGUACCACUUCUUCUUUUCUUCCCAUUUGCUGAUCCUAACCUCAGAGCUAAGUGAUCAAAUAAAAUUAGUUUGUCUUUAUGGCUAGAUAACUUUGUUUAUGGUUCCAUAUCAAAUGACAUAAUGCCUAAGCUCAGAGCUAAGAGAUCAAAUAAAAUUGGUUUGUCUUUAUGUCUCAGAGCUAACAGAUCAAAGAAAAUUACCUUCAACUGGUUUCCAACGUCGAGCAUGAGAUGGUGCCUUCUCUGUUGGUGAUCGGUUGCUGUCUUGACUAGAAUAUAUAUGAUGGCCAGGAUCAUUAAAAGCAUCUGCAGACAAUAUUGUCACAUGAUCAGCUAGCAUAAUUUGAAGCUUGCAAAAGAAUUGUAAUUUGUCAUCAAGAUAUUACUGAUGUCAUCAAGAUCUCCUUGAACCUUCAACCAUUCUAUAAAUGUAUUGAUUGUGUCCUCCCUGUAUAUAUCUUGUAACUCUGAAAAAGAACAAUAAUAUGAGUCAUGAGUGCACAUUGCAAAAUCCAUAUACAUAUACACCAGGGAUUUAUGUAACUCACCCAAGGCUUCGCCCUUGGAAUGCAGAUAAGCUAGCCAAUCUUUGUAACCAUCUAGAUCAAAAGCUUCGUCUUCUUCAUCAUCGGAGCUACCUUUCUUCUUUUUAAUGGGUGUUAUGGCAACACAUAGGUCGUUUGCUUGAUUCUUUGACAAAACUAAUCUAAUCUCACUCUCAUCCUGGCAACUAUCUACCAUGUCUGAUAGAUCAACAUCUAUUCAAGUUCUUGUAUUGCUGAGUCAGGAUCAUCAACACUUCUCCUCUUGUAAUACAUGUAGUCCCUGGACCCAUACCCCAGUUUUGAUUUCAAUGUUAUUAAGUUACCUAGAGUGAGAAGACUCUUCUCAAUAGAAAAUGACCUAUGAAACUAUUCUCCCUCCUCAGUCCCCUUGUCCACUUAUCCUCCAUUCUGCAUAUUAAGCGAUGACAAUUUCUUUAAAUCGCUAGAGAGAAUGAUGCAAUAGCAGAGAUUGAUAAGAACACUACUGAAACUAUUAAUAACAAAUAUUUUCUACUUGCAUGCAAUAGAUCAUGAUAAUUAAUAACAAGAUCCACAGGAUUCUCUACUUGCAUGCAAUAGAUCAUGUGACAAUAUUUUCUGCACAUGCUUUUAGUUUAAUCCUAGCUAUCAAAUCUAAUACAUUCCAAACGAAUCUAAUACACAGCAACCGAUCCUGAGAUGUACCUAUUCUCGAUCGUGUCCUGAGACGCAGGUACGAAUUCUUCUUGGCUGUCGUGGAUUGCGUCGUCGUUGGCCGAACUUUGUGCCGCAAAGAGUGAAGCCUUCGCCCUACAUCUGCUGGGCGCGACCAUGGAAGGUGCAGUUGUUGGUGUCACCGUGGUUGUAGUAAGCAACACCGACGCAGGUGUGCGCAGCGCUGUCAACGACGAGGGGGUCCCCCUUGUCUUCUCGCUCGAUGUCGGCAUCUUGCCUGGAAGAGGAAAACUCACAGUGUUGCGGCGGCGGCGUCGUCUACUAAACCUAAUCGAGCAAAAGGGGAUUAAUUAAGAGGGAGUCAGCCUAUAUAUCAACAUGGAAUUUCGGCUUAAACGUGGUAAGUGGCUUGUUAGUUUGGCGCUCUUGCCAAAAAAAAUUGGAGGGAAAAAAUGGUGCCACUUUUGGUUCCCAGUGCGAUGGCUACAAAAUUUGGAAACACAAAAAAACACGCGUUUGUACUUAAUUGUUGGCGCUCAUGUGAUGUGAUCUUCUGACCAUGUUUAGUUUAUGACGUGUGCUUAUAAUCUACUGCUAUAUAGUCUUUUACACGUCCAAAUUUUUUUUGCUGGUGACGUGUGCUGUAGUGGUAGAAAGCAAGGAAGAUGAUUUCUUUGUUUAAGUAAUAGAACACAGCUGUAAAUGAGCAUUAAUUUGUCAUCCUGGACUAGCUCACAUUGUCACAAAAAAUUCCAUGCAAUAAAGAGUGACAAGAGUCAUGCACAUAAAAUCAGCAGACCUCAAGUACUAGCUCACAUUGUCAUAUAAUCUAUUGGAGCUUAUGUGAAUCCCAUCAAAACACACACAUGCAUGCUCACAUUAUACCAAUACUCUCAUAGGCGCCCCCAGCACCAGGAAGCCAGCCAGCAGCCCUCCUAGCAGCAGUCUUAGAAUGAAUUGGUGACACACAAAAGCCACAAAAUAUCAUUAGCACACACAUAUUUAAAAGGUACGACAGUACUUAAUUAUAUAUUUACAAAGUACUAACAUCUAUAUAAUUAAUUAAAGUUUUUCUUCCCAACAGCACCACCACAGUCCUACUAGUUCAAAUUCUAAGUCUACUGCUAUAUAGUAGAUCAAUCUGCAGCAUCAUUAGCCCAAAGGUGCCCAUACAUAUUGUAAUCCCAAAGCAGCUUCAUCCACAUCUGCUCCAUGUUAUGAUCAAUCUUGGUCUUCACCUCUUGCUUCAUCUUGUCACAGAUUGUUGCACUGUCUUCCCUAGUUUGUAGCUGCUUCUUCAUCUUCUCAAAGAGGUCCUCCAUGUCUUCUUGCAUUUGAUGCUUUGUAGUUUCAACCCAGAAGCGGAAAGUAGCUUCUGGUUCUGCCGGCUCCUAUAAUCGAUCAUAUGCAACAGUCAUUGAUAAACAAUUAAAUAUGACCAUGCAAAACUAACAUUGAUGAUAUGUUGAAUUUUUAGCUUAUCUAAUGCAACAAACUUAUGAUAAACAUAAAUUAAUUAUGACAAAACUAGAUUAAUUUCAUUUUAACCUAAUCAAUUUAAGCAUAAAUCAUAUAUAAAGUAUGAAAUUAAUGAAAGCAUCAGUGUUGUAAACAUAUAAGGCAAAACUUUAAUAAAUCGUAACCCCUUGGGAUUGGGCGAGGUCUCGUGGUGGAGCAUACCUGGCCCUUCUGGUUGCCGCCCUCGCUGAUGAGGGUCUUCUCCUUGCCGACGGCUGGGCGUGGGAAGGUGGACGCCGCCGCCUCCAUGGAAUCAGUAUUGGACUCCAUGAGGCCGCCACCCAAGGAACAGUGGGUGUUGCGCCUUGGCUUCUUCACCACCUCCGUCGCCUCGUGAUGAGGGAGCAUCCUCCGGCCAGUGCUGUCGUCGCCAGGGGUUCCGCGCUCCAUCUCCAGGCCUCGCCACCGCGCAAUCCGCCUUGCCAAAAGCCCUCGCCUAACCGACUGUGGAAGAAGAAGAGACGAGAAAGCCGAGAAGAGUGAAACCACGCACCGAGUAGGUGGCCAUGCUUAAUAUGGGCCAGGUAGUUACGAAAAUAACCCUCACCGAUGACAUUAAUGAAGUUGAGUUGAGUUUAUUUUCUCACAAAUAUAGUUGAGAUCAAAGUUUGCCGUUUUUGAAUGGAGACCUCUUCGAUGCGUGACUAGGACAUGUGUAGCACAAAUUUUACCAAACCACUUGAAACUUUUUUAGGAUGUUUAUGUAGGUGAGGGAUGAUGUUGUGUGCACCUAGGCAAUUUUUAGACAAAUUUUACCUAUUUCUGUAAUUAUUUGUUGAUUUUGUAAAGAAAAAUGGAAACAAUGCCUGAGGUGCCUAGACAAAUCUAAAAACUUGUAUGGUCACAUAAUUUAGCUGUGUAGUGUUGAGGAAAAAGUUUCAGUCAAUUCUGAGAAAGUGGUCAUACACGUGCUCGCAGCGGCCCUCAUCUCUCCCACAUGUCCUAGUCACUAUGCAAUGAGCUAAGGUACAUAGGCAUAUAAGGGAUGUGUAGCACAACUUUCACCAAACCACUUGAAACUUUUUUAGGAUGUUUAUGUAGGUGAGGGAUGAUGUUGUGUGCACCAAGGCAAUUUUUGGACAAAUUUUAACUAUUUCUGUAAUUAUUUGUUGAUUUUCUAAAGAAAAAAAUGGAAAAAAUGCCUGAGGUGCCUAGAAAAAUCUGAAAACUUGUAUGGUCAUAUAAUUUAGCUGUGUAGAGUUGAAGAAAAAGUUUUAGUCAAUUCUGAGAAAGUGGUCAUGCACAUGCUCGCAGAGGCCCUCAUCUCUCCCACAUGACCUAGUCACUCUGAAAUGAGGUACAUAGGCAUAUAAGGGAUGUGUAGCACAACUUUCACCAAACCAUUUGAAACUUUUUUAGGAUGUUUAUGUAGGUGAGGGAUGAUGUUUUGCGCACCUAGGCAAUUUUUGGAGAAAUUUUACCUAUUUCUGUAAUUAUUUGUUGAUUUUCUAAAGAAAAAAAUGGAAAAAUGCCUGAGGUGCCUAGAAAAAUCUAAAAACUUGCAUGGUCACAUAAUUUAGCAGUGUAGUGUCGAGAAAAAAGUUUCAAUCAAUUCUGAGAAAGUUGUCAUGCACGUAAUCGCAGAGGCCCUCGUCUCUCCCACAUGUCCUAGUCACUUUGCAAUGAGAUACAUAGGCAUAUAAGAGAUGUGUAGCAUAACUUGCACCAAACCACUUGAAACUUGUUGAGGAUGUUUAUAUAGGUGAGGGAUGAUGUUGUGUGCACCAAGGCAAUUUUUGGACAAAUUUUACCUAUUUCUGUAAUUAUUUGUUGAUUUUCUAAAGAAAAAAUGGAAAAAAUGACUGAGGUAUCUAGAAAAAUCUAAAAACUUGCAUGGUCACAUAAUUUAGCUGUGUAGUGUUGAAGAAAAAUUUUCAGUCAAUUCUGAGAAAGUGGUCAUGCACGUGCUCGGAGAGGCCCUCAUCUCUCCCACAUGUCCUAGUCACUAUGCAAUGAGGUACAUAGGCAUAUAAGGAAUGUGUAGCAUAACUUUCACCAAACCAUUUGAAACUUUUUUAGGAUGUUUAUGUAGGUGAGGGAUGAUGUUUUGUGCACCUACGCAUUUUUUGACAAAUUUUACAUAUUUCUGUAAUUAUUUGUUGAUUUUCUAAAUAAAAAAUGGAAAAAAUACCUGAGGUGGCUAGAAAAAUCUAAAAACUUGCAUGGGCACAAAAUUUAGCUGUGUAGUGUUUAGAAAAAAGUUUCAGUCAAUUCUGAGAAAGUGGUCAUACACGUGUUCGCAGAGGCCCUCAUCUCUUUCACAUAUCCUAGUCAUUGUGUAAUGAGGUACAUAGGCAUAUAAGGGAUGUGUAGCACAACUUUCACCAAACCACUUGAAACUUUUUUGGGAUGUUUAUGUAGGUGAGGGAUGAUGUUGUGUGCACCUAGGCAAUUUUUAGACAAAUUCUACCUAUUUCUGUAAUUAUUUGUUGAUUUUCUGAAGAAAAAAAUGGAAAAAAAUGCCUGACGUGCCUAGAAAAAUCUAAAAACUUGCAUGCUCACAUAAUUUAGUUGUGUGGUGUUGAGAAAAAGGUUUCAGUCAAUUCUGAGAAAGUGGUCAUACACGUGUUCGGAGAGGCCCUCAUCUCUCCCACAUGUCCUAGUCCUUGUGUAAUGAGGUACAUAAGCAUAUAAGGGAUGUGUAGCACAACUUUCACCAAACUAUUUGAAACUUUUUUCGGAUGUUUAUGCAGGUGAGGGAUCAUGUUGUGUGCACCAAGGCAACUUUUGGACAAAUUUAACCUAUUUCUGUAAUUAUUUGUUGAUUUUCUAAAGAAAAAAGGGAAAAUACCUGAGGAGCCCAGAAAAAUCAUAAAAGUUGCAUGGUCACAUAAUUUAGCUGUGUAGUGUUGAGAAAAAAGGUUUAGUUAAUUCUGAGAAAGUGGUCAUGCAUGUGCCGGUCCUCCUCUCUCCCACAUGUCCUAGUCACUCUACAAUGAGAUACAUAGGUAUAUAAGGGAUGUGUAGCACAACUUUCACCAAACCACUUGAAACUUUUUUAGGAUGUUUAUGUAGGUGAGGGAUGAUGUUUUGUGCACCUAGGCAAUUUUUGGACAAAUUUUACCUAUUUCUGUAAUUAUUUGUUGAUUUUCUAAAGAAAAAAUGGAAAAAAUGACUGAGGUGCCUAGAAAAAUCUAAAAACUUGUAUGGUCAUAUAAUUUAGUUGUGUAGUGUUGAGGAAAAAGUUUUAGUCAAUUCUGAGAAAGUGGUCAUGCACGUGCUCGCAGAGGCCCUUAUCUCUCCCACAUGUCCUAGUCACUGUGAAAUGAGGUACAUAGGCAUAUAAGGGAUGUGUAGCACAACUUUCAGCAAACAAUUUGAAACUUUUUUAGGAUGUUUAUGUAGGUGAGGGAUGAUGUUUUGCGCACCUAGGCAAUUUUUGGACAAAUUUUACCUAUUUCUGUAAUUAUUUGUUGAUUUUCUAAAGAAAAAAUAGAAAAAUGACUGAGGUGCCUAGAAAAAUCUAAAAGCUUGCAUGGUCACAUAAUUUAGCAGUGUAGUGUUGAGAAAAAAGUUUCAAUCAAUUCUGAGAAAGUGGUCAUGCACGUGAUGGCAGAGGCCCUCAUCUCUCCCACAUGUCCUAGUCACUGUGCAAUGAGGUACAUAGGCAUAUAAGAGAUGUGUAGCAUAACUUGCACCAAACCACUUGAAACUUGUUUAGGAUGUUUAUAUAGGUGAGGGAUGAUGUUGUGUGCACCAAGGCAAUUUUUGGACAAAUUUUACCUAUUUCUGUAAUUAUUUGUUGAUUUUCUAAAGAAAAAAAUGGAAAAAAAUACCUGAGGUGCCUAGAAAAAUCUAAAAACUUGCAUGGUCACAAUUUAGCUGUGUAGUGUUGAGAAAAAAGUUUCAGUCAAUUCUGAGAAAGUGGUCAUGCACGUGCUCGUAGAGGCCCUCAUCUCUCCCACAUAUCCUAGUCAUUGUGUAAUGAGGUACAUAGGCAUAUAAGAGAUGUGUAGCACAACUUUCACCAAACCACUUGAAACCUUAUUAGGAUGUUUAUUUAGGUGCGGGAUGAUGUUGUGUGCACCUAGGCAAUUUUUGGACAAACUUUACCUAUUUCUAUAAUUAUUUGUUGAUUUUCUAAAGAAAAAAAUGGAAACAAAUGCCUGACGUGCCUAGAAAAAUCUAAAAUCUUGCAUGGUCACAUAAUUUAGUUGUGUAGUGUUGAGAAAAAAGUUUCAGAUAAUUCUGAGAAAGUGGUCAUACACGUGUUCGGAGAGUCCCUCAUCUCUCCCACAUGUCCUAGUCAUUGUGUAAUGAGGUACAUAAGCAUAUAAGGGAUGUGUAGCACAACUUUCACCAAACCAUUUGAAACUUUUUUCGGAUGUUUAUGUAGGUGAGGGAUCAUGUUGUGUGCACCAAGGCAACUUUUGGACAAAUUACCUAUUUCUGUAAUUAUUUGUUGAUUUUCUAAAGAAAAAAGGGAAAAUAUACCUGAGGUGCCUAGAAAAAUUUUAAAACUUGCAUGGUCACAUAAUUUAGUUGUGUAGUGUUGAGGAAAAAGUUUUAGUUAAUUCUGAGAAAGUGGUCAUUCACGUGCUUGCAGAGGUCCUCCUCUCUCCCACAUGUCCUAGUCACUCUACAAUGAGAUACAUAGGCAUAUAAGGGAUGUGUCGACGAAAGCUGAUCGGCAGUCUACCUUGGGGUAAACCCACGGUAUUAGUUUAUCGGUAGACGGUGCGCAAACUACGAACUCGAUGGUGACGCAAGACACGGACAAGCUUUUUAUCCAGGUUCGGCCGCCGAGUUGGGGUAAUACCUACGUCCUGCGUCUGAUUGUAUUGAUUUGUGUUGAGAGAAUAACCUGUCCUAGGGGGGUCCCUUGCCUCUCCUUAUAUAGUCCGGAGGGCAGGGUUACAGAUCUAGAAACUAAUCCUAGUCGGUUACAAUUGCCAUAGAUAGUUCGAUAUCAAUUCCUAUUCUUACCGAUUAGAAUCCUGCUUGAUUUCCACGUCUUGUUUCCUUGCGCGAAACUCUGAGCUGUCGGGUCAAGCCUUAAACUUGUCUCGUAAUGGGCCAAGCCUCCUGGCCCAAGUCUAGCCGUAAGGGUAUAGGGGUUUAUACCCCCACAGCUAGUCUCCGAGCACCACGUAUUGUGAAGUAACACGCCGCCUUGAGCUUCUUCUACCAAUGAAACUUGACAUCUCCAAUCAUCAUGAAAAUUGCCCAAAUAAUCGCAACAGUAUUUUGAUCAAAUCUAAAGAUAUUCGAUCAACAUCAUCAUCGAAGAAGCCAAUUGUUCGAAGAAUGCAUGGUGCUCUUGAGGAAAAAUAUUUCUUUUUUGGUGAAGUGUGCCCACUUUACUUUCUUGAAAAGUAGAGUCCUCCAAAAAGGCAAGCAAAUUCACCGCAAGGUGAAGUGUGCCCACUUAGUCCCCGAGCCUGGUAGCGGGUGACGUAGUCACGUGGUGCCAGGAUCAAAAGAAAAAUCCUCAAAAUAACUUUGAAUGUGAGAUGCAUCGCCAGAUGCAUCGUACCGAUGUAGUCCCCGAGCUUGCUGGAAGGCGAAGUAUGAACCUUGUAGCAAGGUCUAAAAAAUUAAAAUUAUCCAAUCCCCGAGCAUCUCAUACUCGUUUAGUACCGUAUAUACUUAUCAAUUUGACGAGCUGGUCAACCAGUCCUCGGGUGUACAACGCUCAGAGAUCGAUACAUCCCGCAGAUUACCGAACUAACAGACUAGACGACCAGUCCCCGAGCAUCAAGCGCUCAGUGGUCGGUGCAUCCCCAACAAACUUGACGACCAGUCCCUGAGCAUCAAGUGCUCGGUGGCCGGUGCAUUCCUUAAAGUUCCGAGUUAUUAGACUGGGUGACCAGUCCCCGAGCAUCAAGUGCUCGGUGGUCGGUGCAGUCCUCCAAUUUCUGAGUUGAUAGACUGGGCGACCAGUCCCCGAGCAUCAGAUGCUCGGUGGUCGGUGCAGUCCUCCAAUUUCUGAGUUGAUAGACUAGGCGACCAGUCCCCGAGCAUCAGAUGCUCGGUGGUCGGUGCAGUCCCCAGAUUGUUGACCCUCUACCAAUUUUUGUCUGUUUAUUUUGAAAAAAUCUUACCACAUAAAUGAUUGAUGUGACGAGACCUCCUGACGGAAUGUCAGAUGGUUGCGUGAAAAGUUGCGCCUGGUAACUGUGCAGCCGCCCGUUGCGCGUUUUGAGAAAAAGAAACUAUCAAUUUAUACGAAAUCUCCACUGCAUUAAUUGUCGAUAAUCAUGAAAAACCGAAGCGCCGCGUCCGCCGUUGGGCCCGCUCACUUCCCAAGAAUGUGGGAUGUGGGAGGGGUGGAGCUGUGGUUUAUAAAAUCCUAACAUUACCCCCGCAUUGCUUACCCUGCCAUUGCCUUCAAGCUUUCCGCUCUUACCUUCUACAACCACCUGCACCCUCCUAGCUCGAAACCACUCCCGCACCUCCAAUGGCGAAGAGCGACUCCAAGAAGAGGGCCGAGCUGAUGGCCAAGGAAUGGAAGAAAUCCCGCAGCACUGCAAAGUCCCUCGGUGACCUCGUUGAUAUGGGGCUACUGCACACCCCAGAGCUCGGCGGCUGGAGGGCGCCAGAGGGGGAGAGCUACCCCGACCCCCGCGCCGGUGAGAUCGUAGUGUUCGAAGAUUUUCUUAAGUGGGGUUUUGGGGUUCCAGUCCAUCCUUUUCUUCAGGGUCUUCUCUUGUACUAUGAGAUCGGGAUUUGCAAUCUACACCCGAACUCAAUCCUUCUCAUUUCUACCUUCAUUCAUCUGUGCGAGGCCUAUGUUGGCAUAGAGCCGCACUUCGAUCUUUUCUGCUAUCUUUUCUGUUUAAGGAAGAAGGGAGCGGUUGGAGGCUCCAAGAUUGCAGGUGGAGUAUACCUCAAUCUUCGCGACGGGAUGAAGAACCGUUAUCUGAGCUGUCUGUGGAACACUUCCCUAACCGAAUGGUACAGGAAGUGGUUCUACGUCAGGGAAGAACCGGGCAGCUCCACGUUCUGUGACGUGGGGUACGUCCCCGAGAAGAGGGUCAGUUGGACCGACCGCCCUGAGUUCGCCGGCCAAGUAGCGGACCUGAUGAAGCUGAUCGACUAGUCGCGCUUGGACGGGCUAGCAGUGGUCGGCAACUUCAUUUGUCGUCGGGUGAUGCCCUGCCAGAAGAGGGUGCACUCGGCGUACGAGUAUGCUGGAAGCCAAGACCCGACCAGGAUGACACCUGAGAUCUUAGAGAAGGCGGAGGUGCAGCAGUUGUUGAACGAGCUGUUCAACUUUGCUGACGGGAGCUUCAUCCAUGGUAGUGAUCAGGUGCAAGCUUUCAAGCUGGGGCGACCAGCUCCUAAGGUAACAUUACUUAUUGAUUGUUUCUCCUAAGUCUUUGUUCUUUCCAACUGCUGACUUGUCUUUCUUACUGUUGCAGAUCAGAGAUGUUGACCGGUGCAUAGUGUACGUGUCGCUGGCACCUGGGAUGGAGAACCCCGCGGGGGAAGAUCCCCCGGAGGAAGACACUGCUCGGUGUACUCGGUACACCAGCAGUGAGGAAGAGCAGGCCCGCCCCGUCCCGACCAUCGAGGAAAGAGUGGUGGGGAAAAGGCCUUUAUCAGUAGAUCCUUCCCCUGCGCCGACGCUGCCAGCAGAGAGCAGCCAAGCGCCAAAACGUCGUCGGCUCGUCCGGAUCGACGACGACGAGGAGGAGGAGGAGGAGGCCGCACCGUCGUUGGUCCGAAGGCCUCGCAGUCGCCCGGACAAUGCGCCGACCACCACUGAUCGGGUGGCCAGCGACCUUCCUGCCUCGAGCGUCGCAGAGACGGGAGCACAGGCGCCGACCGGCAGGGCCAGGCGGAGGUUCACCGCAGCCCACCGUCGAUCAGACCUGUAAGUGUUCAACUUUUGUACUCCGGCUUUUUUUGUUGUUUAAAAUGUCGCUUUGUUGUUUAGCGCGGCGUCGGACGUCAACCCCGACCAAGUCGCGGAGGCGAGGACGACCGAGCCUGCUACCGCCGUCGAGGACGCCACGCCGCGGGCCACAGAGCAGCCUGCGGCGGCAGCCGCUGCUACAGUUGCCGAAGGGCAAUCUGCCCCGGCGAGUGCCACGGCAAGCACUCCGCCGAGGGGUGAAGAGGCAGCGAGGACCCCUCCCCCGAAUACUGUUGCGGAGGAGGAAGGCAGAGUCCCGACCCCUCCGCCCGGGGAGGGGAGGGUCCCAACACCGCCCCGAGCAAGGGCCUCAUCGCCCGUGGGCUCCCCUUGCCUGGACCAGGGGCCGGUGAUGCCCAUAACCGCGGCCGGAGGUAAUGCGGCACAUGAGGAGCCCCAAGUGGCCUCUGACGACGACGUAGAAGAGGUCCAGGGUCGUCCCCGUGACGGCCGCCAGCACGUCUAUGUGUGGCGCCAACGCGAGGACCACUUUAUUGGACACGAGGAGCUCGCGGAGACGGAAGAGGCCGCGAGGGUGGAACGCGCAGCCAAGCGUCUCAUGGACGAGGUCAAGGUAGGUGGUCUGUGCAUUGUUCAGCAAGUAUAUGUAGUGCUCCUGUGCUCAACAUAUGUGUUUCCUUGCAGGGCGCGAUGAAAACGGCAAAGUACCGGAAACGGUGCUUCGACCAAAUCGAGGGCAUAGUGGCCGAGAACAAGGCCUUAUCCACAGAGGUGGACCGGCUGCGGUCCGAAGUUGGUGAGAAGGUGGCCGAGAUGAGUGCUCAGGAAGAGCGCCGUCUCGAGCUUACUCGACGCCUAGCCGAUCAGUAUCGGCAGAGGACAGGUUAGUUGCAUUCUCCGAACAGCUGCAUAUAGUUGUGUGAUUAGAUCUGCUGACCAGGAAUGUGUUAUUGUAGACUUGGAAGAGGAGGUUGCUCGCCUCCGACAAGAGAAAGAGCAGCUGGGUCAAGAGCUUGCUGGGGCAUUAGAGGCCGGAGGCCGAGCAGGCGAGGAGCUAGGCCCGAGGAACCGGGAGUUGUCUGGUAAGUAACCGUACCGCCCCCCUUUUAUAUAGCUGCUCAACGCUCUUUUCAUUGUGCUUAUACUGAUAUAUUUCUUGACUUGCAGUGCUCAAGGUGAAUGCCAAAAAGCACUUAGACGAGCUGGUCAAGGAUCGGGACUCCUGGAAGACUAAUUGUAUUAGGCUUUGGAAAGGAGUAGCCCCGGUCCUAGACCUGAUCAGCCCCGAGCUUCCAGAAAGCCAGCCCCGCGCGCCGAAACUGACGCCUGUCAAACAGGCGCAACGGGCAUGGGAUUGGCUCCAGCAGUUCAUAAAGGACGUCGGGGAGUUCGCUGGUGCGCAUAUCCUUAGCAUGGUGCGUGCCCACUACCCCCUGGUCGACUUGUCCAGGCUGGAGAAGGGGUAUCCCAAGGAGGUCGGCCCGCAGGAGGCGGACGAGCUUCGGGCCGGUCUGCUGGACUUGUCGUCGAUGGUGAUCGGCGACAUCAAUCUAUGCGGAAUGGCCACUCCCCCCAACCAGCCAGGUUCAGACAGGUUGGCCAGGGAGCUGUCGGGUGCGUCUAUUGCCGGAGAUGGGCGGUCGACGCCUGCGGUCUCGACCAGCCAGGCGCCGGUGGCCCCGACCCCUUCGUCCGGGCAGCAAGGCCAAGCGGGUGAUCAGCCCGAGCAGUAGGCCAGUAGGGUAGUCUGUAGGAGUAGACUAGUGACCACCCGUCAGGGUAUUUAUUGUAAACUUUGUAUGUAAAGUUUGUAAUAAAGUUUGCUUUUGUCAUGACUGUUAUUUUGAGAACUGUAAAGUUAACUGAGUGACGUGUCACUAUGUUUGAUUCAUAGCCGUUAAGAGUUUCCGUCGCGGAAGACUUUCCGAGCUCUGCGUGUAAACAAAGUAGAGACAAAAAGAAAAGCUUUUAUUAUUGACAACUAUAAGAGAUUUACAAGCAAAAGAUACUAGAACUUAUGGAUAAAAUCGGCGUAGUUUGUCUAUGUGCCAAGAGUUAGGCACGCGUGUUCCGUCUGGAUAUGCCAAUCUGUAGGAUGUGGGUUGUGUGACUUCGGCGACCACAAAGGGUCCUUCCCAGGGGGUGGAUAGCUUGUGCAUUCCCUCCUGGCUUGUUUUCCACCUGAGUACCAGAUCGCCGACCACGAAAGAACGGUCCUUGACGUUCCUGUUGUGGUACCUUCUGAUUGCUGCAAGAUACUUUGCUGUUCGGAGACAUGAAUUUAGACGCUUUUCCUCCAUGGAGUUAACUUCGAGCUCCCUGGCGUUGUCGGCUGUUGACUGGUCGAAGUUUUCAAUUCUAGGAGACCCGAAGGUUAUGUCAGACGGCAGAACUGCCUCGGUGCCGUAAACCAUGAAGUAGGGUGACACCCCCGUGUUCGGACUAGUCUGAGUUCGGAGACCCCAGACCACGGCUGGUAACUCUUUCAUCCAUCGACCAGGUGCUCUAUCGUUCUCGGUGUACAACCUUUUCUUUAAGGCGUCAAUGAUCAUUCCGUUCGCAUGCUCGACUUGGCCAUUUGCCCGUGGGUGAGCUACUGACACGUACUUUAUGACUAUACCUCUGUCAUCGUAGAAGUCCCAAAAUGUAGUGCCAGUGAACUGAGUGCCCAAGUCGUUGAUUAUACUGUUUGGGAUCCUGAAUCUGUGUAUGAUUUGAUUGAGGAACUCCACAGCCUUCUCGGAGGUUGCUUUGACCAAUGGCAUGUAUUCGAUCCAUUUUGAGAAUUUGUCGAUUAAUACGAAGACGAACUUCAAGUUGCCCGGGGCCGGUUUAAAUGGCCCGAUCAUGUCGAGCCCCCAGCAGGCGAAAGGCCAGGACGACGGAAUAGUUUGAAUCUCGUGAGCAGGUACGUGGGUCCUUUUGGCGAAGAACUGACAUCCCUCGCAGUGUCGGACCAGUUUUUCUGCGUCGUUGACCGCGGUUGGCCAGUAAAAACCUGCUCGGAAAGCUUUCCCGACCAGCGUUCUGGAGGCAGCAUGAUUGCCGCAGGAUCCGGCAUGUAUAUCGUCUAGGAGCUUGAUGCCAUCAUCUUGGGAUAUGCAUUUGAGCAGCACUUCAGAACUUGCGUUUUUCGCAUAAGUUUGCCGUCCACCAGUAUGUAAUUCUUUGACCGUCGAAUGAGGCGCUCGUUCUCUGUUUUGUCCUGAAAGCCUGACCCAUCCGAUAUAUAUUUGAUGAACGGGGUGCGCCAAUCACGGCCACUGGUUGUCAGAGUAGUAUCGUCUAUAAGCAUUGCCUCCGUGGGUUGCUUUUCGACCAGGCCUGUGCCCACGCUUGGCUCAUGGAUGUCCUGGACGAAAACACCUCACGGGAUCUGGGCCCGAGAUGACCCUAACUUUGACAAGGCAUCUGCUGCUUGGUUCUUAUCCCGGACCACGUGGAUGUAUUCUAUGCCAUAGAAGUUGGUUUCCUAUUUGUGAAUUUCUUUGCAAUAGAGAUCCAUCUUCUCGUGGGUUGCGUCCCAUUCCUUGUUGAGCUGGUUGAUAACCAACGCGGAGUCACCAUAGACAUAGAGGCGUUUGACUCCCAACUCAACGGCUAGUCGUAUGCCGUGCAGGCAUGCUUCGUACUCGGCGACGUUGUUUGAUGCCGGAAAGAGGAGCCUAAGGACGUAACGCAGUUUGUCCUUGUUAGGCGAUACGAAAAGUAUCCCAGCGCCGGCACCGCUGAUGUUUAAGGACCCGUCGAAGAACAUCGACCAGUGGUCGGAAACGUCGGGAACGGGAGGUUCGUUGAGAUCCGUCCAUUCUGCAAUGAAAUCGACUAGGGCCUGAGACUUGAUUGUGGUGCGACUCUGGAAUUCCAGGGAGAAUGGGCAUAAUUCCAUUGCCCAUUUUACAAUUCUGCCGUUGGCGUCUUUAUUGCGCAGAAUAUCCCCAAGAGGGAAACUGGUGGUUACCAAGACUCGAUGGCCGUCAAAGUAGUGCUUUAGCUUCCUUGACGUUAUUAGAAUGGCAUAUAUGAGCUUCUGUAUUUGCGGGUAUCUGGCCUUGGACUCAUUUAAGACUUCGCUUAUGAAGUAAACGGGUCUCUGGACCUUGUAGACGUGGCCUGGCUCGUCUCGCUCGACCACUAUUGCUGUGGAGACGACCCUGUCGGUUGCUGCAAUGUAAAGAAGUAGGUCUUCAUUGGGUUGAGGCGCCGUGAGAACAAGCGGUGAGUUGAGGAAAGUCUUAAGCUGGGUGAACGCAGCAUCAGCCUCUUCCGUCUAGGAGAAUUUUUCUGACGCUUUCAAGAGUUUGAAGAAGGGGAGGCCUUUUUCUCCUAGCCUUGAGAUGAAGCGGCUGAGAGCGGCCAUACAUCCGGUGAGCUUCUGAAUAUCUUUGACAUUCUUAGGUGGUCGCAUGUCAAGUACUGCUUUUACUUUUGAAGGAUUCGGUCGUAUGCCGUCGCGGCUGACGACGUUGCCGAGUAGUAGACCGGAGGGGACCCCAAAGAUGCACUUUUUGGGAUUGAGUUUCCACUUAUACUUGUUUAGUGCUUUGAAGGUUCGGUCUAAGUUGUCGAUUAGGGUGCUGGCGUCCCUUGUUUUGACGACGACGUCGUCUACAUAAGCCUCGACGAGGUCGUCACGAAUCUCGUCGUGGAGGCAUUGCUGGAUGGCCCUUUGAUAGGUGGCCCCGGCGUUUUUGAGUCCGAAGGACAUGGUCGUAUAGCAAUAUGCACUGAAAGGAGUAAUGAAAGAUGUUUUGAUCUGAUCGUCUUCCUUUAGCGAGAUCUGGUGAUAACCAGAGUAGCAAUCUAGAAAAGAAAGGAGUUCGCAUCCGGCCGUUGAGUCGACCACCUCGUCGAUGCGAGGAAGACCAAAAGGAUCUUUAGGAUAGUGUUUAUUGAGAUCAGUGUAAUCAACGCACAUUCUCCAUUUAUUAUUCUUUUUGCGUACAAGAACCGGAUUGGCAAGCCAAUCGGGAUGAUACACUUCUUUUAUGAAUCCGGCUGCUAGAAGCCGUGUUAUUUCUGUCCUAAUAGCCUCCUUUUUGUCACGAGCGAACCGUCGCAGCUUUUGCUUGAUGGGUCUUGCGGUCUUCGAGACAUUUAAGGAGUGCUCGAUCAGGUUUCGUGGGACGCCGGGCAUGUCUGCGGGUUUCCAUGUGAAAACGCUUACGUUGUCCCUUAGAAACCUGACGAGCGAGUCUUCCUAUUUAGGGUCCAGGUUGGCCCCGAUGAGGGCCGUCUUCUCGGGGCUGCCUUCGACCAGCUGCACUUCCUUGUGCUCCUUGGAUUUUGAGUUCUUCCUGGCGGUCUCCUGCUCGGGUAGUCGAAGCUGGUCGGGAGGUAGCUGUGCAGCUUGGGUUGCUGUCUCUACCAUGCGGAUUGAGAGAUGGAUUGCUUCGGUGAUCUUGAACCUCUCCUCCUCGCAAGUAUAUGCAGUGUAGACAUUGCCCCUGACGGUUAGGACGCCUUUCUCCGUGGGCAUUUUAAGGACCAGGUAUGAGUAAUGUGGGACUGCCAUGAACUUUGUUAGCGAUGGCCGGCCUAGUAUAGCGUGGUAAGUCCCAUCAAAGUCAGCGACCACAAAGUUGACGAACUCUGUUCGGAAGUGGUCGGACGUGCCAAAUUGGACAAGCAAUGUUAUCUGUCCGAGGGGCACUGAACUCUGGCCGGGCAGGACUCCCCAGAAUUGAGCAUCGUAGGGUUUUAGCUGUGCCGGAGAUAACUUGAGAGCGGGCAGGCUGUUAUGGAAAAGGAUGUCAAUGGAGCUUCCUCCGUCCACGAGCACCCGCUCGAAUCUGAUGCUGUUGAUGCAAGGGUCCAAGAUUAGAGGGAAACGACCUGGCUCUGGGAUAGCGGCCCACUGAUCCUUCCUGCUGAAGGAGAUCUCUCUGGAAUUUCGGGUCUGCGAUCAGGCCAUCCGAGCUGUCUAUGUUGAGGCAGGCUCUUUUUAGGAGCUUUCUUUCUCGCUUAGAUUCGAUGGAGACCUUGCCCCCGAAGAUGGAGUGGACCACGUCGGUGGGACUAACAUACUGGUGUCGUGGGUCCCUAUAUUGGUCCUCGUCCUCGUCUUCGUGGUCGCGUCCGUCUUGCUUCCCAUUCUUCUUGGCGGAGUCGUCUUGGGCGGCCCGCCAUGUGUAAAUGUUUUUGAGGACGCGGCACUCUUCCAUGGUAUGGUUGGACUUUGGAUGCAGUUGGCACGGUCCCUUCAACGUUUUGUUGUAGUCUUCUUGGUAGUCCCGCCGCCCGUUGGGGCGUUUGACUGUAUUCACUUCGUGGUCAUGGUCGCGGGGGCGCUUUCCUCUGAAAUCAUCGCGAUUGUUGCGCCGGCUAUCCCAACCUUCCCUGUGAUCACGGUUGUCGGGACGGCGGUGGUUCCUGUUGUCGAAACGACCGCGACUAUCAUCUCGCCGGGGAGGCUGGUCGCGACCUCUCGCAUCGUCCCGGAUGAGUUUUUCUGCGUCGUCGGCGUCGGCGUAAUUUUUAGCCGUGGCGAGGAGCUCGGCCAUCGUUGUUGGCCUUUUGCGCAACAGCUUGUUCCUCAGUGCUUCAUGGAAGCACAGCCCCUUGAUGAAAGCAUAUAUGGCCUCGUCGUGGGAAAUCUUCAGGAUCUUAAGGCGCAUAUCCGAGAAUCGUCGGAUGUAAUCACGCAGAGGCUCAUUUUUCCUGUCCCUUAUCCUUUUGAGGUCGUACUUGUUUCCAGGCUGCUCGCAUGUGGCGAUAAAAUUGUCGAUGAAAGCCUGGCACAGCUCUUCCCAAGAGUCGAAGGAGUCCUCGGGCAGGCCAAGGAGCCACUGGUGACCAGCCUGGUCAAGGACUACUAGGAAGUUGGCCAUGACGUGCUCGUCUCCUGCUGCUGAUCGGACGGCGAUCUCGUAAAGAGUGAUCCAGUUUUCUGGAUUUUCCUUGCCGUCAUAUUUUUUGAGUUUCUCGAGCUUGAAAUUGCGAGGCCACACGACCUGGCGGAGGUGUGAGAAGAACUGCCUCAGGCCCGAGGGGCCGUGUGUUGCAUCAUAUUCGAUACGACGCAGGUUUUCGUGGACUGCUCUCUCCGUGGCGCGCCUGUUGAUGCGGUCUCAGGCGUCUUUGAGAGGGAUGUUGUAUCGAAGAUCCCUGUGCUGGUUUACUUCCUGACCACGCCCAUGAUUCUGCUCGCGACGACCGCCAGCAUCCCGACCGCCAUCGCCACGCCGUGAGUCUUUUCGAUGAUCGUUGGGAGAAAGGUUGCGGUGGUGCCCGCUGGGCUGUGGUGAGGUCCGGCUGCGGUGAGUCUGGUCGGAGGAGGCCUCUGUGUAAGAGACGGCUUGGACUCUUUUGAGCAGAGUGGCUGUUUGCCCCAUAGUAGCGAUCAGAUGUGCCCGAACGCUGGAUCGGACGCCCUGGCACUCGGGAGUAUCAGGGAGUCGAUCUAAAUUGGCCAUGGCGACAGCCACAUUGGCGCUUGGCGUUUUGUAGACUUGCUGAUCCCCGACCAUGUCGAAAGCGUCGCUGAGAUUAUGCGGCAGGAAUUCGUGUUCCUGGUCUGCGCGUCGUCGGGCACGGUCGGUGUUGCGCUGCUCGCGGAGCUGCCUCUGCUCGUCUGUUUCUCCAUCAACAGCCGGCUCGUCGGCGCUGACGUUGAAAACGAUAUCUCCUCGCCGAGGUGGGAAGACCGGGAAACGAGGGAAACCCGGAGGAUAUGGAGGCAAAUCUAGAUCAUAGUCCUCGUCCUCGGAGUUUAUGACUUCAGUGGGAACGGAACCAGUGCUCGAAUUUGUGCUGGAAGCCUGGCCGUCCCGUAGUUCUUGGACCGUCACCAUGUUGACGUGGUGACGAGCUGACCGACCGUUCCACUUUGGCAGCCAACCCGCCUCGUUAAAAAGGGAUUGGACAUGCCGUGAGUAGAGAGAGGCCGAGUUGUUCAGACCGCAAGGAUACCCUUCCUCCGGAUCAGCCUUGGUCUUGACGGACCGUCCCGAGGGGGUGGAGGUUAUCGUCAGAGUCGCCCCCAGCUGUUCGUGUGUGACGACACGAGUUGGCCGGUAGGAUUUGAAAAAAUCCGCUGGUGCGGCUUGAUCAGGUUGACAUAAGAUCCCAUCUACUAGUAGAGAAGCCUCGAGAAGCUCGGAAUCAGCGCGAUCAAGCACUCGGAGAAGAUCCGAGCCGUUAAUCUUCUUUCCCUUGUAGCGUCGGAGUGGUGGUCGGGUGCUCGGUACCAGCAUCCGUGUGGUCGGAGCCGAUGCCGCCGUCAUCCCAGAUUGGAUCUGGGUUCCCUCCGAAACCGUGGUCGUGAGACCGCCGCCGUGCGUCGUCCAUGUGAUCUGGCCGACGGUGAACGUGAGGCCUUCGGGCACGGCCGCGGAAGCUGGGAUGAUGACCAUCUUGUUCGUCAGAGGAGUUGUACGCACACACCCCCUACCUGGCGCGCCACUGUCGACGAAAGCUGGUCGGCAGUCUACCUUGGGGUAUACCCACGGUAGUAGUUUAUCGGUAGACGAUGCGCAAACUACGAACUCGAUGGUGACGCAAGACACGGACAAGCUUUUUAUCCAAGUUCGGCCGCCGAGUUGGCAUAAUACCUAUGUCCUGCGUCUGAUUGUAUUGAUUUGUGUUGAGAGAAUAACCUGUCCUAGGGGGGUCCCUUGCCUCUCCUUAUAUAGUCCGGAGGGCUGGGUUACAGAUCUGGAAACUAAUCCUAGUCGGUUACAAUUGCCAUAGAUAGUUCGAUAUCAAUUCCUAUUCUAACCGACUAGAAUCCUGCUUGAUUUCCACGUCUUGUUUCCUUGCGCGAAACUCUGAGCUGUCGGGUCAAGCCUUAAACUUGUCUCGUAAUGGGCCAAGCCUCCUGGCCCAAGUCUAGCCGUAAGGGUAUAAGGGUUUAUACGCCCACAGGAUGUGUAGCAUAACUUUCACCAAACCACUUGAAACUUUUUUAGGAUGUUUAUGUAGGUGAGGGAUGAUGUUUUGUGCACCUAGGCAAUUUUUGGAUAAAUUUUACCUAUUUCUGUAAUUAUUUGUUGAUUUUCUAAAGAAAAAAUGGAAAAAAUGCCUGAGGUGCGUAGAAAAAUCUAAAAACUUGUAUGGUCACAUAAUUUAGCAGUGUAGCGUUGAUAAAAAAGUUUCCGUCAAUUCUAAGAAAUUGGUCAUGCACGUGCUCGCAAAGGCCCUCAUCUCUCCCACACGUCCUAGUCACUUUGCAAUAAGGUACAUAGGCAUAUAAGGGAUGUGUAGCACAACUUUCACCAAACCACUUAAAACUUUUUUAGGAUGUUUAUGUAGGUGAGGGAUGGUGUUGUGUGCACCUAGGCAAUUUUUGGACAAAUUUUACCUAUUUCUGUAAUUAUUUUUUGAUUUUGUAAAGAAAAAAUGGAAAAAAAUGCCUGAGGUGCCCAGAAUAAUCUAAAAACUUGCAUGGUCACAUAAGUUAGCUGUGUAGUGUUGAGUUAAAAGUUUCAGUCAAUUCUGAGAAAGUGGUCAUACACGUGCUCGCGGAGACCCUCAUCUCUCCCACAUGUCCUAGUCAUUGUGCAAUGAGCUACAUAGGCAUAUAAGGGAUGUAUAGCACAACUUUCACCAAACCACUUGAAACUUUUUUAGGAUGUUUAUGUAGGUGAGGGAUGAUGUUGUGUGCACCAAGGCAAUUUUUGGACAAAUUUUACCUAUUUUUGUAAUUAUUUGUUGGUUUUCUAAAGAAAAAAAUAGAAAAAAUGCCUGAGGUGCCUAGAAAAAUCUAAAAACUUGCAUGAUCAUAUAAUUUAGCUGUGUAGUGUUGAGAAAAAAGUUUUAGUCAAUUCUGAGAAAGUGCUCAUGCACGUGCUCGUAGAGACCCUCAUCUCUCCCACAUGUCCUAGUCACUAUGAAAUGAGGUACAUAGGCAUAUAAGGGAGUGUAGCACAACUUUCACCAAACCAUUUGAAACUUUUUUAGGAUGUUUAUGUAGGUGAGGGUUACCUAUUUCAGUAAUUAUUUGUUGAUUUUCUAAAGAAAAAGUGGAAAAAAUGCCUGAGGUGCCUAGAAAAAUAUAAAAACUUGCAUGGUCACAUAAUUUAGUUGUGUAGUGUUGAGAAAAAAGUUUCACUCAAUUCUGAGAAAGUGGUCAUACACGUGCUCACAGAGGCCCUCAUCUCUCCCACAUGUCCUAGUCAUUGUGCAAUGAGGUACAUAGGUGUCGGCGUCUAGACACAAACGAGUAUAAAUAUGCGUGACUACCUAAGCCUGGAUGGUGAUGCAAGUGGAACACAGAGAAUUUAUACUGGUUCGGGCCAAGAAUGCCCUACGUCUAGUGAGAUCGGGAGUUUGUAUAACCUUGAACCCGAAGGUGCUUGUAGUAGGGGGGUACAAGUAUGUUGCGAGAGAGGGCUAAGUCCCAAGUCUCGGCUUUGUGGUGGACAGAGCGCUGGUUGCUACUCUGUGAGUGAGUGUGGUGAUCGUGUGUCGUGUGUCUCUAUGACCCUUGUGAACCUUGGCUCCCCUUUUAUAGCCUCAAGGGGAGGCAGGUAUUUACAUGGGGGUUUGGAGAUUUUCCCUACCGAGUGGAGGAGUGACAGUCCCGACCCUGUAGGAGCUUGCCCAUGCCGUCCUUGAAGCAUGGUUGACAGUAUGGUUGUUCCUGUGGGGGGUUGCCGAGCCCUGUUGGAGUCGUGGGGGUCGGGUCGGUGACCCUGUUGCCUGUCCUGUUAACAGUGGGAGAAGACAGCAGAUAGUGACAUUGAUUAAUCUCCUCCAUUCCUCUUUUACUGUGAGGCAGUACACCACAGUAAAAGAGGUAAGGUUGCAUAGUGAAAGAGGUAAGGCAACAGUGACCAGGGUGGAUGGAAUAGUCGCCACCAUGCCCUGCUGUGAUAUGGAAGUCAUUGCGCCUAUCAUGUCGAGGGUACGGGCGCCGUGCGUCCGAAGCCUUAUCCUGACCCGGUGGAGUGGCGUUUAGCGCCCGAGCCCUGGACGGGUCGGGCGAGACAGAACUUACGCCCGAGGCCCAGGGGGUCGGGCGAGGCGGUGUCUGCGUCCGAGCCCUGGGGGGUCGGGCGAGACGGAACUCGUGCCCGAGGCCAGUGGGGUCGGGCGAGCCGUGUUUUGGGCUCGAGAUUGAGGAAGUAGAUGGGCUGGGGCCCGCGUCUUGGUGAUCCUAGGGGGCUUGCUUUGCCUUUUGCGUUUUUUAUUGCUCUGAUUUGGGUAUCCCCUUUUUAUGGUACCCAACAGUAGCCCCCGAGCAUUUGAAGGGGUGAGGUUACCUCUUCAAAGGUUCUCUUCUAAGGGACCUUUGUUGACUGGGGACUUUUUUACUUUUUCUCCGGAGGGUGCGCGCGUGCGCACCCGCCGGGUGUAGCCCCCGAGCCUUUUGGAGGAAUGGUGUUAUUCCUUCAAAGGCUUUUACCCCCGAGUGAUUUGGUCGGGAGUAUUUGAGGGAUAGGCUGCGUGUUCUUUACACGUAGUGGCUGUUCCCGUGGUGUGAGGAAGCCCCUGAGCCCUUUCCCCGCAAGGGUCGAUCAGGUUCUUUCUCAUCUUCUAAUUAAGUCCCUCAUUCAUCCUUUCGCUCGGAGGAGGGGUGGGUCACGCCGUACUACCCUCGAUGGGCAAGUCUCGACGUUCCCCGAGAGCUGCAAGCGGGUGAAUCCAAGUGGAUGUCCGAGCCCUAUUCGAUAAGGGUCGGCUAGUGGCCUUAUGGGCACAUCUCAAAAUACCCGAGGGCAGUCACGGUGGAUGUCCGAACCAUUCGCUAGAUUCCGAGGGCUCGGUGCCUCCCUCGAUGGGAUCCCACUCGCGUGACACCCGCAUGGGUCUUGGAUAUAACUGGUAAAGAUGCACCGACCCCUUAUGGGGCUCGGACCUUGGCCUCUAUUGUGCUCAUCUUCAAUCAUCCCUCGCUCAGUUAUGAGGCGACUGUUGGAACCUAUUUUUGCAGGUCAGUCUCGCAACCUCUAGAACGUAGGUGGCUAUGGCCUGGGGAUUUUCGGCCUCGAAAGGCUUUUUUAGAUUUGUUUGCAAUAUCGGGGUCGGGCGAGACGGGGUCUGCGCCUAAUGGGAACCCCCUUGUGAUUUUCGCUCGGGGUCAUGAAGGGAUCGGGCAAGACGGAGUCUGUGCCCGAUGGAGACCGCCCUACGACCUUGGUCAGCGGGGGGGGGGGGUCGAGCGCCGCUUGCCCUAGAAGGAACCGCCCUGACAUAACUUUUCAGAGCGCUCCUAUCGAGGCGCGGCACGUGGGGAGUCGAAACGGCCGUGCUGUUGUGCCCUGACUGGAUGGGACGUUUCACCUGUGAAAUUAUUGCGCGCGUGCGGCGGGCAUGAGAAUCGGAGGGAGUUGGUGCUUCGAAUUUUUCACCUGGUGGGAAGUGGGUGCGGUUGCUCUUUCUCCCAUUUUGUCUUCUAUGCAGGUGGUGCGGCCGUGGUGCGCUCCCUCUAUAAAAGGAGUCGCGCGGGACUUGGUUUCUUUUCUACUGCUCCUGCGCAAAAAAGCUCCUGCCGCCAUCUUCUCCACUUCUGCUGCGCAGACGCCCUACUUCACCAGGAGCCAUGGCCGGCGACGAUACGUGGCCGCCUUGCAAUGUCACCAAGUCCGCGCUGGAGGCGCGCGUGAAGUUAGGGAUCCUCCGCCCCCUCAGGGACGUCGAGCUGCCGGAGUGGAUCGUUCCCUCAGCGAACGAUAGGGAGCCAAACCCGCCCCCAGGCUAUGUGGUUUGCUUUCUAUCGUUCCUAGACCAGGGGUUCGGAACUCCGACUGGUCGCCUGAUCCGGGCGAUUCUCCAUUACUAUGAGGUGGAGCUGCACAACCUCAACCCUAAUUCGGUGAUGCAGGCAGCCGUCUUUGCCACGGUAUGCGAGGGGUUCCUGGGCGUUCCUCCCCAUUAGAACCUCUGGCUUCACCUUUUUAAGGCGGAGAUGUCCGCCCGUUACGUGGGUGGGGAGAAGUUCCCCCUACGAGUCCGUGGUUGCACGCUGGAGCUCCGCCAGCAGCGGUCUUCCCAGUACAUCUGGAGUGUGAUGCCCUCAUCGAACCGGGGGUGGCAGAAUGGAUGGUUCUACCCCCGGAAUGACGGUGGGCUGCUCCCGGCGUACACAGGGAAGAUGGUGACUGAGUGCCCCCAGAAGUGGGUGUGGGGCGCUCCUACAGAGGAGCAGAAGAGGCUUGCCCCGCUUCUUGCGGGGCUCGAGAAGCUGCGGGACGCCCGAGUCACCGCGGCCACGGUGGCGAUGGCGUUCCACAAGAGGAGUCUGCUCCCGCUGGUGUAGCGGCGAGCAUUCAUGUUUGAGAUGACCCGGGACGUCCCCUGGGCCAUGACGAAGAUGUUGGCCGAGCCGAUAUCGGACAUCGGACAUCGCCGCCCGGGUGGAGAAGACGACACACCCGGAGAUGAAGAACUCCCCGGUGGUGCCGAUGCGCCCCAAAAAGGGCUACAUUUCUCUGGUAAGAAGAUGUUUCUUUUACUUUGAUCUCUUGUAUUUGUUUUCAACUUCUUCCUAUUUCAAUCCUUUUCUCUGCUCGUCUUACAGGGGAUGGGGAUCGUUAGGGAUUCCCUGCCCCCAGUCCUAGAGGACAAGGAGAUUCGGGCCAAGAAUUGGGCCCAGAACGAGGAGCAGAAGAAAGCCAAGGAGGACAAGAAGGCGAAGGCUGCGAGGAAGGCGCAGCGGUGAGAGAUUUCCGCCAAGAACCACCGCGACGCCGAGAAGGCGGGAGUCCCUCCGCCCGCUUCUCUUGAGACGUCGGUCUUGGAAAUAGAGGGUGGAGGGGACAACGUGCAUUGGCUCGACGAGUUGGUGGCGGAGGAGGAUGACGUGAUCCCCCCUGUCGGCGGGGGGAUUGAGAUCCCGGAGGGGUCGUGGGCCCCAGGGGGUCAGAGGCUCCUGAGGGGUCCCAGGCGCCGGGGGGUAGGCAGACCGUCCCCCACAUCAUCGUAGAUGAUGAGGACAGCGCCCCUCGGGAGGGCUCGGUGUUGACGGUUCUUAAGUAUCAAUUUUAAUUAUCAAAUAAACAAGAGAAAGGACCAAUAUGCAACCAACACCUAGAAUUAGGGUUUGAUCUGAUAGAAUUCCACGAGUUUUGUUGUUUAUCUAUUUCUGCAGGGGG